UACGGAGGAUGCAAGCGUUAUCCGGAAUGAUUGGGCGUAAAGCGUCCGUAGGUGGCGAUGUAAGUCUGCUGUUAAAGAGCAAAGCUUAACUUUGUAAAAGCAGUGGAAACUACAUCGCUAGAGUGCGUUCGGGGCAGAGGGAAUUCCUGGUGUAGCGGUGAAAUGCGUAGAGAUCAGGAAGAACACCGGUGGCGAAGGCGCCACUCUGGGCCGAAACUGACGCUGAGGAGCGAAAGCGUGGGUAGCAAACAGG
RNAcentral lists this ribosomal RNA (253 nucleotides) under uncultured bacterium. RNAcentral describes it as "partial 16S ribosomal RNA". It matches the Rfam family "Bacterial small subunit ribosomal RNA", at positions 524 to 776 of the family's 1533-position model. The record is from RNAcentral.